CAACCAUCAAGCCCUGCUUGUGUUGGGGUCCUGCGGCUGCCCGCAGGCCCUGAAAACCAGUGGCGGGCUCGCUAGUCACACCGAGCGCAGUAGCACAUCUCGCUCAGGGCGUACGGCGGGUUCUUGCCGUGAAACCCCCCCCCUUCCAAA
Molecule: unclassified non-coding RNA, 150 nt
Filed under: uncultured Zopfiella
Lineage: Eukaryota; Fungi; Ascomycota; Sordariomycetes; Sordariales; Chaetomiaceae
Description: sequence contains ITS2
Source: RNAcentral